This 253-nucleotide ribosomal RNA is filed under the name uncultured prokaryote. RNAcentral describes it as "partial 16S ribosomal RNA". It matches the Rfam family "Bacterial small subunit ribosomal RNA", at positions 525 to 777 of the family's 1533-position model. The record is from RNAcentral.
ACAUAGGCUCCAAGCGUUGUUCGGAAUUACUGGGCGUAAAGCGAGUGUAGGCUGUCCGCCAAGUCGAUUGUGAAAUCUCCCGGCUCAACUGGGAGGGUGCGGUCGAAACUGGCGGACUAGAGUUCGGGAGAGGAGAGUGGAAUUCCUGGCGUAGCGGUGAAAUGCGUAGAUAUCAGGAGGAACACCGGCGGUGAAGACGGCUCUCUGGACCGAUACUGACGCUGAGACUCGAAAGCGUGGGGAGCAAACAGGA